This 207-nucleotide ribosomal RNA is filed under the name uncultured bacterium. RNAcentral describes it as "partial 16S ribosomal RNA". It matches the Rfam family "Bacterial small subunit ribosomal RNA", at positions 568 to 774 of the family's 1533-position model. The record is from RNAcentral.
CUCGUAGGCGGCUGGUCGCGUCUGUCGUGAAAACUUCCGGCUCAACCGGGGGCUUGCGGUGGGUACGGGCGGGCUUGAGUGCGGUAGGGGAGACUGGAAUUCCCGGUGUAACGGUGGAAUGUGUAGAUAUCGGGAAGAACACCAAUGGCGAAGGCAGGUCUCUGGGCCGUUACUGACGCUGAGGAGCGAAAGCGUGGGGAGCAAACA